This is a long non-coding RNA of Aethina tumida (small hive beetle), 560 nucleotides long. RefSeq lists it as uncharacterized. The record is from RefSeq and is a predicted model, not a curated record. The transcript has 2 exons. Lineage: Eukaryota; Metazoa; Arthropoda; Insecta; Coleoptera; Nitidulidae.
GUGACAUUGAAAUACAGAGUUUGAAUUGAAAGCGGUGAUGCAGUUCCGUAACGGAUAGAAUAAAUUGUACAACGUAGUAGUAGUUAAUUUGAGAAAGAGUGACAAAAAACUAAUAUUAAAGUGAAUUUAGUGUUAUCUAUAUACCUGUUAAUUUCAUUGUUGCGUGAAUAGAGGAAUUGGUGUACAGAUAAGAUUUUAUAAAUAACCAAUAAAUUUAAUCAAUGAGUGUUGCUUUCGACAAAACAAUAAAAUGUUUUUAUACAAUCGGACUCGAACAACACUUAAAAAAAUACCAAAUAAGUGAUAAAGAAAUCCAGAUUAGUAAAAUGUGUUAUUAAGUAUUAUUAUUAACCCUGUCUCACUAUUUGUUCUGUUAAUUAAUUUUUUAUUUUGUUCCACAGAGUACUCGAGGACCUUUAAUUUUUCCUUAUUAUAUAAUUAUUAGGUUACCUAGUUUUUUUGUUAAGAUUUUAAUUUUUUUGUUAAGAAUUUAAUAUGGGUAAAAUAUGUAUGAUCUUGCAUUGAAAAAUAAUAAAUAUUUUUAUCAUUGUAAAGUUUGU